UGUUCGUCGCCUGUGCUCGCGUGACGCCUUGACGAGCCGAAACGGCCGCGCCGCCGCCGCUCUACGCUGCACAUACACCUCGCCCCUCUAGCGAUCAGCCUCCAUCUGCACUGCGCACGCCGGCCGGCCGGCCUGCCACCCUCAAGGAAGAAGCCGUACUAAUCAAUUAUUCAAUCAAGAUAAGCCCUAGCUUGAAGGCUAGAAAUCAGGACGUACCAACAAAAAGGAACGGCAUAGUCAAGUUAUUGUGCCUUAACUGAGACACCUGGCGAUGUAUCAUAAUAUGUCCUGCAAAAUAAAGGAGCGCUGAGGAUGAUGGCUUUCAUGUUGGUUUGGAUGAUGCUGGUUCGGUAGUGUGGCUUCUAAUAUGUCAGGUAAGAUCUUGGGGUAUCAUAUUCGCUGAUUCUCCACAUUGCAGGAUUCGUCCUGUGUUCCGUUAGGUGUGAUGUGUGUUGUCUGUGUGGAUAUGUUGUGGCCGCGGGCCAUGCGUGUGCUUGUGACAGCCUGCUAGGUAAUAUUUAUGGUCAUGGUGCAGUAUUCAAAAUUUGGUGCUAGAUCGUACGUCAAUACUUCAUAUGAUGUGGUGCAAAUGUUAAUUGGGAAUUCAGUCGUCUUUUAUCUAAUAUAUAUUUGCAUAUAAAUGGUGCAUCAAAUAGCCUCAUAAAUCUGAAAUGAAUAUAUGUUACAGGAGCCUUACUCUUAUAUAUAGUUGUCAUGAGGUGAAUGGGGUGUGAUUAUCAUGAUCAUAUGAUAUUAUAUAGGUACAUACUAUUUUUUUGUUUAUAUCUCUAGGAUUUGUAUUCAUCGAUUCUUGUUAGUAGUCAUUUGUGACUAGAAAUGUUUUUGAAAUUUUGGGAAAUUAGACAUGAUCAUUCUGACAAUGAAUGAAUAAAAACAUAUACUCAAUCUUAGCGAGUCCAUGGGCAAUAUAGUACCCAUUUCUUGCCUGGCACACAGUUGGAAGGAUAUUUCCAUCCUUGCCUUCCAUUCUUUGCUACAGAAGCCAUGAGUUGAGUUUUGAUUUUGAAUCUUGUCAAGUUCAGUUCAGAUUUAAUUAUACUUCCUCUGUACUAUUUUUGUUGUUAAUAUUAAAAAAAUUGUCAUGAGUUUUUGAAAGCCAUGAGUGUUUUGGGAUUGUUAAGGGUCGUCAACAAAUAUUUUAUUAUACACUUGUAUAGGAUUAUUCAACACUAACACUUGUAACAUUUUAACUCUUUAUGAUACCCAUGUGGCAAUGGGGAGAGAAACAAUGAAAUCCUUGUUGAGAGCCUACAAUUCCUAAGAAGGUGGUUUUCUGGUUACCAUGAUUUUACAUAGCAUCACUCCUUAUUACAUAGAUAGAGAUGUUAUUUAUGUGUUUUCCACCAAAAGAUUUUGAGAUUGACACUGGUCAAGUUCCACUUUGUUGCUUCUUGUGUUAUUAUGUAUACUAAGAAGUGAAAUUUAUUUUAUGCAUGUCUUACUUUUGAAAUGGAGAGCCAUUUGUUUGGCCUACAGAACAAGUGCAUGAAAUUGAGAGCCAGUUGUUUGGACUGCAACACAAGUGCAUGAUUAUGUGUUUGAAAUUCAAAGUGUAAGUGGUUAGAGGUGGAAGGAGUGAUUUGAGAGCCGGAUGCACCAUUGAAAAAUGUGUCGAUCUUGGGUCCGAGAGGUGGAGAGGCAAAGAUAAUGAGUGGAGGAAUAGAAGAAGAAGAAUGUGGUCCUGAAAGAAGAAGAUGAAGAGGAAGAGGAAGAGAGAGAGUAGUAGAGAGAAAGUGAGAGGGAUUGAGGGGUCGAUGCCGUUGAUUGCCUAAUGUUGCUGCUAAUUAUACCCGCUGAUUAUAAGGAGGUGUCAUGGCAGUUUAUAUAGGGGUUGAUUGCCUAAGGUUGUUGCUGAUUACUGAUUUUGUAUAGUAAUCGUUGAUUGCUAGAGAGAUAAAAAUGUGUGUGUGCACUGAUUGCGAUAGCUAUAUGCCACUAG
This is a long non-coding RNA of Triticum dicoccoides, 1960 nucleotides long. RefSeq lists it as uncharacterized. The transcript is spliced from 3 exons. NCBI's taxonomy places the organism in Eukaryota, Viridiplantae, Streptophyta, Magnoliopsida, Poales, Poaceae. The record is from RefSeq and is a predicted model, not a curated record.